GCGACUGAACUGUCACUAGCUCAGCAUGUGAAUCAGCGUGCACUACAGUGAGCGCUGAAUUGUGGUCUUUUGGUUCUUGCAUCAACACGUCCAGUCCAUGUUUUUUGGAAUAAAACAGCAAAGAGGGUGAAACUCCCGUGUGACUGGACCAACGAAGCAAGCACUACUGAGUCGAGUUGUUUGGGAUUGCAGCUCAAAUACGGUGGUAAAUUUCAUCUCAAGCUAAAUACUGCAGGGAGACCGAUAGCGAACAAGUACCGUGAGGGAAAGAUGCAAAGAACUUUGAAAAGAGAGUGAAAGAGUACCUGAAAUUGCUGAAAAGGAAGCGAACGAACCUAGUGAAAGCAAUGUCAUACUUUCCAACUUGCUCGCAACUUGGACGCUGUGGCUUGCCAAGUUCCACUCCAUCGCACCUCCGCACUGCCUGCAAUGCAGUGGAACGAAAUAGAUUUGUUUGUCCCGUCUAGAAACACGGACCAAGGAGUCUAACAUAUGUGCGAGUACAAAGGCAGCAUGCCUUGGUGCGCAAUGAAAGUGUCAGAGGCUGGAAUGCUGUUACAGGCAGUGCACAGUCCGCCGGCCUCCAUCCCUCGGGAUUAUGGUCUGAGUGUGAGCAUACAUGUUGGGACCCGAAAGAUGGUGAACUAUGCUUGAGUAGGGUGAAGCCAGGGGAAACUUUGGUGAAGGCUCGCAGCGAUUCUGACGUGCAAAUCGAUCGUCAAACUUGAGUAUAGGGGCGAAAGACUAAUCGAACUAUCUAGUAGCUGG
This 768-nucleotide ribosomal RNA is filed under the name Pinnularia borealis complex sp. Its description in RNAcentral is "partial 28S ribosomal RNA". It matches the Rfam family "Eukaryotic large subunit ribosomal RNA", at positions 89 to 954 of the family's 3401-position model. Lineage: Eukaryota; Bacillariophyta; Bacillariophyceae; Sellaphorales; Pinnulariaceae. The record is from RNAcentral.